Molecule: transfer RNA, 70 nt
Filed under: Marmota monax (woodchuck)
Lineage: Eukaryota; Metazoa; Chordata; Mammalia; Rodentia; Sciuridae
Description: tRNA.Thr
Source: RNAcentral
UGAAGUAGGUCAGUGGCAGAGUACUUGCCUAGUAUGCACAAGGUCCUGGGUUCAACUCCCAGUACUAUAA